Molecule: RNA transcript, 1024 nt
Organism: Daphnia pulicaria
Lineage: Eukaryota; Metazoa; Arthropoda; Branchiopoda; Diplostraca; Daphniidae
Gene name: hatching enzyme 1.2-like
Exons: 9
Source: RefSeq, a predicted model, not a curated record
GUCUUUUGAGUCUUUCUUUGUUAAAAGAUAGAUGGUCACAAGGCAACAAUUCUAUUUAAAAAAUAAUAAAAGAAUGAGAAGCCCCUUGUCGAUGAUUGUGGCCUUUUCGAGUUUAUGGUUCCUAUCGGUAACAGCAACGCCCGUCCCAAAAAAUUUUGACAAUGAUUUUCACAUACAGUCCAGCACAAAUUUUAUAACUGGAAUGCCAUUGACUGAAGAAAUGAAAGGAAAUUUUAGCGAAAUAGGAAAAGCAUUGAUUAUACAGUCUUUCCCAUGGGAUAAACAAGAUCCUACACUGUACGAAGGUGACAUUAAGCAUUUUGGGGACAAAAAUGCUAUCUUGAGCAAUAGCUAUCGCUGGCCGAAUGCAAAGAUCCCAUAUGAAAUUUCAAAUGCCUACACUCCCGAUCAGCGAACAGUUAUCGCUUUUGCUAUGAACGAAUACCACAAAUAUACGUGCAUCCAGUUAGUUCCUCGAACUAGUGAAACAAAUUAUAUAAGAAUUCUUAAAAGUGGAACUGGAUGUAAUAGCUGGAUUGGUAUGAUCAAUAGAGGCGCUCAAGAUUUAAGUCUCGAUGAUGGAUGCGUCUCAAGAAAUUAUCCAGGCAUCGUCCUCCACGAACUGAUGCACGCUGCUGGAUUCUUCCAUGAACACACUCGCCCAGAUCGUGACUCGUUCGUGAGAAUAGAUUUUAACAAUAUUAUUUUAAAACAUCGAUUUAACUUCAACAAAACCACUGCUUCGGAAGUGACUACUCUUGGUCUCCCCUAUGAUUACGAUAACCUGGUUCUCUCCUAAACGUGGUAUAGUGGCCGCAAAGGUUAUAUUGUAUUUUGGGUAUUAUACUCCCUCGGAAAUACACAAUAGUAAUGGAUUUCUAUCGAAAAAUCUGUAUUAAACAAAAGUUUUGCGAAAAUUCAACAAAUAAAUGAUUCUGUAAUGCAUUACGGAAAGAAUGCUUUUGCAAUUGACACAACCAGACCAACAAUUAUUCCUAUCCCUAAUGAAAACAUAAACCUAGGG